This 347-nucleotide ribosomal RNA is filed under the name Pseudo-nitzschia galaxiae. RNAcentral's name for it is "LSU rRNA". It matches the Rfam family "Eukaryotic large subunit ribosomal RNA", at positions 185 to 544 of the family's 3401-position model. The record is from RNAcentral. Lineage: Eukaryota; Bacillariophyta; Bacillariophyceae; Bacillariales; Bacillariaceae.
GUUCCUUGGAAAAGGACAGCUGAGAGGGUGACACUCCCGUCCGCCUGGUAGAGUGAGUCUUUGUCAACGAGUCGAGCUGUUUGGGAUUGCAGCUCUAAUUUGGUGGUAAAUUCCAUCUAAAGCUAAAUAUUGGUGGGAGACCGAUAGCGUACAAGUACCGUGAGGGAAAGAUGCAAAGAACUUUGAAAAGAGAGUUAAAGAGUACCUGAAAUUGCUGAAACGGAAGCGAAGGAAACCAGUGUUUGUUGGUUCAUAUUUCCCUUGUCACUUGUGAUGUGGGCGCUGUGAGCUUGCGUGGGUUUGCUUUGGUUGAUUCCUUUGGAAGAGCGCAGUCAGAGUUGAUGUCU